GCCUACCCGCUGGAAUUUAAGCAUAUCAAUAAGCGGAGGAAAAGAAACCAACCGGGAUUGCCUUAGUAACGGCGAGUGAAGCGGCAAAAGCUCAAAUUUGAAAUCUGGUACCUUCGGUGCCCGAGUUGUAAUUUGGAGAGGGCAACUUUGGGGCCGUUCCUUGUCUAUGUUCCUUGGAACAGGACGUCAUAGAGGGUGAGAAUCCCGUGUGGCGAGGAGUGCGGUUCUUUGUAAAGUGCCUUCGAAGAGUCGAGUUGUUUGGGAAUGCAGCUCUAAGUGGGUGGUAAAUUCCAUCUAAAGCUAAAUAUUGGCGAGAGACCGAUAGCGAACAAGUACAGUGAUGGAAAGAUGAAAAGAACUUUGAAAAGAGAGUGAAAAAGUACGUGAAAUUGUUGAAAGGGAAGGGCAUUUGAUCAGACAUGGUGUUUUGUGCCCUCUGCUCCUUGUGGGUAGGGGAAUCUCGCAUUUCACUGGGCCAGCAUCAGUUUUGGUGGCAGGAUAAAUCCAUAGGAAUGUAGCUUGCCUCGGUAAGUAUUAUAGCCUGUGGGAAUACUGCCAGCUGGGACUGAGGACUGCGACGUAAGUCAAGGAUGCUUGCAUAG
RNAcentral lists this ribosomal RNA (602 nucleotides) under Saccharomyces cerevisiae (brewer's yeast). RNAcentral's name for it is "LSU rRNA". It matches the Rfam family "Eukaryotic large subunit ribosomal RNA", at positions 19 to 634 of the family's 3401-position model. The record is from RNAcentral. Lineage: Eukaryota; Fungi; Ascomycota; Saccharomycetes; Saccharomycetales; Saccharomycetaceae.